This 258-nucleotide ribosomal RNA is filed under the name uncultured bacterium. RNAcentral describes it as "partial 16S ribosomal RNA". It matches the Rfam family "Bacterial small subunit ribosomal RNA", at positions 524 to 776 of the family's 1533-position model. The record is from RNAcentral.
UACGAAGGGGUGCAAACGUUUGCUCGGAAUUUAUUGGGCGUAAAGCGCACGUAGGCGGCUUUGUAAGUUAGAGGUGAAAGCCCGGGGCUCAACUCCGGAACUGCCUUUAAGACUGCAUCGCUUUGAAUCCAGGAGAGGUGAGUGGAAUUCCGAGUGUAGAGGUGAAAAUUCGUAGAUAUUCGGAAGAACACCAGUGGCGAGGCGGCCCUCUGGCUCGACCCUGACGCUGAGAGGCGAAAAGCGUGGGGAGCGAACGGG